This is a non-coding RNA of Sus scrofa (pig), 72 nucleotides long. The record is from Rfam. Lineage: Eukaryota; Metazoa; Chordata; Mammalia; Artiodactyla; Suidae.
UCCCUGGUGGUCUAGAGGGUAGGAUUCAGCGCUUUCACUGCUGUGGCCUGGGCUCAAUCCCUGGUCUGGGAA